This 1412-nucleotide ribosomal RNA is filed under the name Cronobacter sakazakii. RNAcentral's name for it is "partial 23S ribosomal RNA". It matches the Rfam family "Bacterial large subunit ribosomal RNA", at positions 1552 to 2925 of the family's 2925-position model. The record is from RNAcentral. Lineage: Bacteria; Pseudomonadati; Pseudomonadota; Gammaproteobacteria; Enterobacterales; Enterobacteriaceae.
AAGGCUGAGGCGUGAUGACGAGGCACCACGGUGCUGAAGUGACAAAUGCCCUGCUUCCAGGAAAAGCCUCUAAGCAUCAGGUAACAUCAAAUCGUACCCCAAACCGACACAGGUGGUCAGGUAGAGAAUACCAAGGCGCUUGAGAGAACUCGGGUGAAGGAACUAGGCAAAAUGGUGCCGUAACUUCGGGAGAAGGCACGCUGACAUGUAGGUGAAGCCCCUGCGGGUGGAGCUGAAGUCAGUCGAAGAUACCAGCUGGCUGCAACUGUUUAUUAAAAACACAGCACUGUGCAAACACGAAAGUGGACGUAUACGGUGUGACGCCUGCCCGGUGCCGGAAGGUUAAUUGAUGGGGUUAUCGCAAGAGAAGCUCCUGAUCGAAGCCCCGGUAAACGGCGGCCGUAACUAUAACGGUCCUAAGGUAGCGAAAUUCCUUGUCGGGUAAGUUCCGACCUGCACGAAUGGCGUAAUGAUGGCCAGGCUGUCUCCACCCGAGACUCAGUGAAAUUGAACUCGCUGUGAAGAUGCAGUGUACCCGCGGCAAGACGGAAAGACCCCGUGAACCUUUACUACAGCUUGACACUGAACAUUGAGCCUUGAUGUGUAGGAUAGGUGGGAGGCUUUGAAGCGUGGACGCCAGUCUGCGUGGAGCCGACCUUGAAAUACCACCCUUUAAUGUUUGAUGUUCUAACCUGGCGCCGUGAUCCGGCGUGGGGACAGUGUCUGGUGGGUAGUUUGACUGGGGCGGUCUCCUCCCAAAGUGUAACGGAGGAGCACGAAGGUCAGCUAAUCCUGGUCGGACAUCAGGAGGUUAGUGCAAUGGCAUAAGCUGGCUUGACUGCGAGAGUGACGGCUCGAGCAGGUGCGAAAGCAGGUCAUAGUGAUCCGGUGGUUCUGUAUGGAAGGGCCAUCGCUCAACGGAUAAAAGGUACUCCGGGGAUAACAGGCUGAUACCGCCCAAGAGUUCAUAUCGACGGCGGUGUUUGGCACCUCGAUGUCGGCUCAUCACAUCCUGGGGCUGAAGUAGGUCCCAAGGGUAUGGCUGUUCGCCAUUUAAAGUGGUACGCGAGCUGGGUUUAGAACGUCGUGAGACAGUUCGGUCCCUAUCUGCCGUGGGCGCUGGAGAAUUGAGGGGGGCUGCUCCCAGUACGAGAGGACCGGAGUGGACGCAUCACUGGUGUUCGGGUUGUCAUGCCAAUGGCACUGCCCGGUAGCUAAAUGCGGAAGAGAUAAGUGCUGAAAGCAUCUAAGCACGAAACUUGCCCCGAGAUGAGUUCUCCCUGAGACUGUAAGUCUCCUGAAGGAACGUUGAAGACGACGACGUUGAUAGGCCGGGUGUGUAAGCGCAGCGAUGCGUUGAGCUAACCGGUACUAAUGAACCGUGAGGCUUAACCUUACAACGCCAAAGAAGU